Molecule: non-coding RNA, 45 nt
Organism: Schistosoma mansoni
Lineage: Eukaryota; Metazoa; Platyhelminthes; Trematoda; Strigeidida; Schistosomatidae
Source: Rfam
AUCCAGCUGAUGAGUCCCAAGUAGGACUUGACGCACGUCCUGGAU